Molecule: unclassified non-coding RNA, 200 nt
Filed under: soil metagenome
Description: partial contains internal transcribed spacer 2 and large subunit ribosomal RNA
Source: RNAcentral
AUUAUCAACCCUCAAGCCCGGCUUGUUGUUGGACUCGGUGAGGUUAUCCUCACCGGCCUCAAAGAUAAUGACGGUGUCUGGAGGACCCUCGGUACAAUGAGCUUUCUAAGCACGUACUGAAGUGGACUUCGAGGCCCGGUCUCUUUUUAACUAUUUACAAGGUUGACCUCGGAUCAGGUAGGGAUACCCGCUGAACUUAA